Coregonus clupeaformis (lake whitefish) is the source of this 761-nucleotide long non-coding RNA. RefSeq lists it as uncharacterized. The transcript is spliced from 3 exons. The record is from RefSeq and is a predicted model, not a curated record. Lineage: Eukaryota; Metazoa; Chordata; Actinopteri; Salmoniformes; Salmonidae.
UCUGUAACGUCACUGUGCCCAUUUCUUAUUUUUCUUUUUAUGACAGAAAUCAAGAAAAUGUAUAUAUGAAUUUGUAAUUGAAAGCUUUACAUAUUGGAAUGUUAGUCAGUAACAGUAGCAGCUCUGAAGAGGAAACAGAACAUUUACUAUUAGAGGAUGUAACAAAAAGGCUGCGAUGUUGGCACAAAGAUGACAACUCAUUAAGGAAGAAGCACAAAUCAGAGGAACACACCACCAAAGCAAGAGGAAGAUGAGGACCCACAGACUGAGGACAGCAUGCAACAUGGUGGACUGAUUCAAUCCUUCAAACACGAGAGGAGAAACUGGGCCACUUACGUGUACUUUCCAUACAUCCCAGUGGAAGGGUUCUUGGAGCUGCUUGAUGAGAUGACUAAAGUAGCAGCAUCCCAUGGCAUCUCCCUCACUCAUACAGACGAGUUUCACAUCAGUCUAUCACAGGACAAAGUGCACAGAAAUGAUUAAUAGUGUUCUAGCAACAUACAUUCUGAAAAGGUUGGUUGCAGAUGUGGGGGACCAGCAUUUCAGCCUCCUCCUCGAUGAGUCCACGGAUGUAAGUGUUUCUAAGUACCUGGGGGUUGUGAUAAGGUACUUUAGUGACACCAAGCAGACAAUUGUAUCAACAUUUCUGGGGCUUGUUGAGUUUGAGGGAGGAGAUGCCAAAUCUAUAGCCUGUGCUGUUCUGGCUUUCCUCGAGAAGUGUUGUCUUAAAAAAGAGAAACUCCUGGGGAUAUGGACUGACA